Molecule: long non-coding RNA, 162 nt
Organism: Rhipicephalus sanguineus (brown dog tick)
Lineage: Eukaryota; Metazoa; Arthropoda; Arachnida; Ixodida; Ixodidae
Exons: 3
Source: RefSeq, a predicted model, not a curated record
GGGAAGGCCCGAAAAAGUGAUCGUGCCAAUCACGGCGCCGGCAGGCUACAGCGCACCGCCACAAUGACGGAAUAUAAACUAGGUGUCGUCGGUGCCGGUGGUGUGGGAAAGAGUGCCUUGACAAUCCAGCUCAUACAGAACCACUUUGUGGAUGAAUAUGAC